UUACGACCAUAUCACGUUGAAACAUUGGUUCUCAUUCGAUCACCGAAGUUAAGCAAUGUCAAGCUUAGUCACUACCUAGAUGGACGACCGUUUGGGAAUACGAGGUGCUGUA
This is a non-coding RNA of Acanthosepion pharaonis, 112 nucleotides long. The record is from the annotation of a GenBank genome assembly. NCBI's taxonomy places the organism in Eukaryota, Metazoa, Mollusca, Cephalopoda, Sepiida, Sepiidae.